AACGAACGCUGGCGGCAUGCCUAACACAUGCAAGUCGAACGGGAUCCUAGCUUGCUAGGUGAGAGUGGCGGACGGGUGAGUAACACGUGGGAAUCUGCCCUUUGGUCCGGGAUAACCGCGGGAAACUGCGGCUAAUACCGGAUGCCCUCGCGAGAGGAAAGAUUUAUCGCCAGAGGAGGAGCCCGCGUCCGAUUAGGUAGUUGGUGGGGUAAAGGCCUACCAAGCCGACGAUCGGUAGCUGGUCUGAGAGGAUGAUCAGCCACACUGGGACUGAGAUACGGCCCAGACUCCUACGGGAGGCAGCAGUGGGGAAUAUUGGACAAUGGGGGCAACCCUGAUCCAGCAAUGCCGCGUGAGUGAUGAAGGCCUUAGGGUUGUAAAGCUCUUUUGCCAGGGAAGUUGAUGACUGUACCUGGAGAAUAAGCCCCGGCUAACUUCGUGCCAGCAGCCGCGGUAA
This 457-nucleotide ribosomal RNA is filed under the name uncultured bacterium. RNAcentral describes it as "partial 16S ribosomal RNA". It matches the Rfam family "Bacterial small subunit ribosomal RNA", at positions 29 to 523 of the family's 1533-position model. The record is from RNAcentral.